ACAUGAGAUGCUCUCUUCAGUCCGGGGCUUGGUUGAACGGACUCACCAGGAAACGUGACUUUCGUGUCCGACCUCUGCUGUAUCAGGAUUCGAUUCUUGGUGUUAAACAAGACAACGCUGAAGGCUCGGUGCAGCAGCCCUGCAAAGGUAAGUGCCAUUUGUGUGAGUGCAUGCCUGGAGUCUGUACGAUUGUCCUUCGUGCUUUUUGUCCUCAGUCUGUUUCUCGUAGAAAAGCCUGUGAUUGUGGCACCUGGGCAGGGCAAAGGGGACUGCUGGAUGCCCAAACACAACGUUUCAGAAUCUCAGCGGAUUAGAACACUCGGGAAACUAAAAAUAGAUCUACCAGAUGACCCAGAAAUCCCACUACCAGGGCAAAUAUCCAAAAUAAAAGAGAUCAGUCUAUCAGAGAGAUAUCGCAGCAUUCCUGGGUGCUGAGCACCAUUUACGACAGCCAAGAUAUGAGAUCAACCUGUGUCCGUGGAGGUUUGAAGGGUUGAAAACAUGAGGGUUAGAUACACAGUGGCAUACCAUUCCACCACAAAAGAAGAAUGAAAUCGGGCCGGGUGCGGUGGCUCACGCCUGUAAUCUCAGCACUUUGGGAGGCUGAAGUGGGCGGAUCACGAGGUCAGAAGAUCGAGACCACCCUGGCUAACAUGGUGAAACCCCGUCUCUACUAAAAAUACAAAAAAAUUAGCUGGGCGUGGUGGCAGGUGCCUGUAGUCCAAGCUACUCGGGAGGCUGAGGCAGGAGAAUGGCAUGAACCCAGGAGGCAGAGCUGGCAGUGACCUGAGAUUGCACCACUGCACUCCAGCCUGGGCAAUGGAGCAAGACUCUGUCUCAAAAAAAAAAAAAAAAAGAAGAAUGAAAUCCUGUCAUUUGUAGCAACAUGGAUGGAACUGGAGGCCAUUGUGUUAAGUGGAACAAACCUGGCACAGAAAAACAAGUAUCACAUGUUCUCACUGCUAUGUGGGCUCUAAAGAAGUUGAUCUCAUGGAGGCAGAAAACACAAUGCUAGACACCAGAGGCUGCGAAGGGCAGUGGGGAGGGAUGACGAGAGGGUGGUUAAUAAGUAUAAACAUACCGCGAUAGAGAAGGAAUAAUAUCAGCUGUUCAAUAGCACAGUAGGGUGACUGUAGUUAACAACAGUGUAUUAUAUGUUUCAAUGUGGCUAGAACAGAGGAUUUGGAAUGUUCCCAACACAAAGAUAUGAUGAAUGUUUGAGGUGAUGGAUAUCCCAAAAUGCCCUAUUUGAUCAUUAUGCAUGACAUGGUGGUAUCAAACUAUCACAUGUACCCCAUUAAUAUGCAUAAUUAUUAUGUGUUUAUAAAAAAGACACAAA
RNAcentral lists this long non-coding RNA (1339 nucleotides) under Homo sapiens (human). Its description in RNAcentral is "HSALNT0355569". The record is from RNAcentral. Lineage: Eukaryota; Metazoa; Chordata; Mammalia; Primates; Hominidae.